This 471-nucleotide ribosomal RNA is filed under the name uncultured Desulfocapsa sp. Its description in RNAcentral is "bacterial SSU rRNA". It matches the Rfam family "Bacterial small subunit ribosomal RNA", at positions 916 to 1381 of the family's 1533-position model. The record is from RNAcentral. Lineage: Bacteria; Pseudomonadati; Thermodesulfobacteriota; Desulfobulbia; Desulfobulbales; Desulfocapsaceae.
ACGGGGCCCGCACAAGCGGUGAGUAUGUGGUUUAAUUCGACGCAACGCGCAGAACCUUUACCUGGUCUUGACAUCCCGGGAAUCUUUCUGAAAGGAGAGAGUGCCUCGCAAGAGGAGCCUGGAGACAGGUGCUGCAUGGCUGUCGUCAGCUCGUGUCGUGAGAUGUUGGGUUAAGUCCCGCAACGAGCGCAACCCUUGUCUUUAGUUGCCAUCAUUCAGUUGGGCACUCUAAAGAGACUGCCGGUGUCAAACCGGAGGAAGGUGGGGAUGACGUCAAGUCCUCAUGGCCUUUAUGACCAGGGCUACACACGUACUACAAUGGCCGGUACAAAGGGCAGCCACUUAGCGAUAAGGAGCCAAUCCCGUAAAGCCGGUCUCAGUCCGGAUUGGAGUCUGCAACUCGACUCCAUGAAGUUGGAAUCGCUAGUAAUCGCAGAUCAGCACGCUGCGGUGAAUACGUUCCCGGGCCUU